This 305-nucleotide ribosomal RNA is filed under the name uncultured bacterium. Its description in RNAcentral is "bacterial SSU rRNA". It matches the Rfam family "Bacterial small subunit ribosomal RNA", at positions 337 to 656 of the family's 1533-position model. The record is from RNAcentral.
UCCUACGGGAGGCAGCAGUGGGGAAUAUUGGGCAAUGGAGGCAACUCUGACCCAGCAACGCCGCGUGAAUGAUGAAGGUCUUCGGAUUGUAAAGUUCUGUGAUGGGGGAUGAACACAAUGACGGUACCCCAAUAGCAAGCCACGGCUAACUACGUGCCAGCAGCCGCGGUAAUACGUAGGUGGCGAGCGUUAUCCGGAAUGAUUGGGCGUAAAGGGUGCGCAGGCGGUCCUGCAAGUCUGGAGUGAAACGCAUGAGCUCAACUCAUGCAUGGCUUUGGAAACUGGAGGACUGGAGAGCAGGGGAG